RNAcentral lists this ribosomal RNA (300 nucleotides) under uncultured Propionibacterium sp. RNAcentral's name for it is "bacterial SSU rRNA". It matches the Rfam family "Bacterial small subunit ribosomal RNA", at positions 115 to 416 of the family's 1533-position model. The record is from RNAcentral. Lineage: Bacteria; Bacillati; Actinomycetota; Actinomycetes; Propionibacteriales; Propionibacteriaceae.
ACGUGAGUAACCUGCCCUUGACUUUGGGAUAACUUCAGGAAACUGGGGCUAAUACCGGAUAGGAGCUCCUGCUGCAUGGUGGGGGUUGGAAAGUUUCGGCGGUUGGGGAUGGACUCGCGGCUUAUCAGCUUGUUGGUGGGGUAGUGGCUUACCAAGGCUUUGACGGGUAGCCGGCCUGAGAGGGUGACCGGCCACAUUGGGACUGAGAUACGGCCCAGACUCCUACGGGAGGCAGCAGUGGGGAAUAUUGCACAAUGGGCGGAAGCCUGAUGCAGCAACGCCGCGUGCGGGAUGACGGCC